CUCGGAUUUGGAGGGAGAAGGAAGGGGGAAAAAGACCUGGAUCCCAGGGGCAGCAGGAGAAGCACCUGUGCGUCCUCCCCUCCCCCGGCUCUUUCCCUUCUCCGUUCCCCCCCUUCCCCGCCCCCAGCUCGCCCCCGCCCCCCAAAGCCGGUGCAGCAGUGGGUCCAGCACGCGCCCCACUUGUUCCCUUGCGCAGCCUGUCAGCCUUAGCCCAGAGGGAAGGAGCUAGGCUUGGGGGGGUAUACGGGGGGAAGUGGGGGGGGAUGUAAAGGUCGUGCGGCUGUGGGUGAUUUAGUAGCAGGGUCUGUAGUACAGGCUGUCCCCAGCAGCGGAGUCAGCGCGCCCCACGUGACGGCUCCGUCUUCAGGCUUUGGCUCUUCGGUGAGCUCCACAAACAGACGCACAUACACACACGCACACACACAUACACACACACACUCUCUCUCCCUCUCUCUCUGCUCUCCAUCCAGUCUCUCAUUUCUCUCCCUUCCUUAUUUCUUCCCCUCCUCUCGAUCCCUCUGAAUACACACACACACACACACACACACACACACACACACACAGACACACACACGCACACACAGACACACACACACAGACACAUACCCACCCGUACCGGCAGCAGCGGCGGCGGCAGCAGCCCGGCAGCUGAAGUCAGGGCAAACCUCUAGGUUCAGUCUUUAGUAACAGCAGCAUCAGUAAUAAUCCCAGCAAAGGAGAAGAGUUGAGGUUCCUUUUGCCUUUCUUUUCUUUUCUUUUUUUGGGGAGAUUUUUUUUUCUUGUUGUGUUGUUUUUUUUUUCCUCCCCAUUUUGUUUGCAUCCAGAGGAUGGCAGGCUGCGGGCUAUCGGAAGAUGCCUUCUUCUCUUCUUUCUUUUACAACUACAGCUCCUCCUGGGAAACCUCCUACAACCAGGUGUGUUGCGAAAAUCAAUGAACUAAUAUUGAUAAAAUUGGAGCCCCAUGGAUGAAAGGUACUUUAUGGUCACAUCUUUAGAUCCUGAAGGGAGAGAAGCAACACGUUCUCUCAGGAGUCCAAAUGCAGCAGCAGAUUUUGCCUCCAAGCAAUCUGACCUACUCAUUGCUGGAUCACCAUCCACGUCCCACCCCUUAACUGUGAGUGUGCCUCAAGUCUCUGCCCUAGGCCCUCUUCUCUGCUUUCUCUCUCUAUUCUUUCACUUUUUGACCUCAUCACCUCCCAGUGGAUUAAUUAUCAUCUCUGUGAAGAUGAUUCCUACAUCUAUAUAUCCAUUUCUAGCCUUUCUUCUGAGCUCCAGUCAUGUAUCUUCAACUGCUAUUUUAAAUCCGAGGUCCUAUAGGUAUUUCAAAUGCAACAGUGUCCCCAAACCCCCAAACACAUCCAUCUGA
This is a long non-coding RNA of Monodelphis domestica (gray short-tailed opossum), 1366 nucleotides long. NCBI's taxonomy places the organism in Eukaryota, Metazoa, Chordata, Mammalia, Didelphimorphia, Didelphidae. The record is from Ensembl.